RNAcentral lists this ribosomal RNA (255 nucleotides) under uncultured bacterium. RNAcentral's name for it is "partial 16S ribosomal RNA". It matches the Rfam family "Bacterial small subunit ribosomal RNA", at positions 524 to 776 of the family's 1533-position model. The record is from RNAcentral.
UACAGAGGUGGCAAGCGUUGUUCGGAAUUACUGGGCGUAAAGGGCGCGUAGGCGGCGCAACAAGUCACUUGUGAAAUCUCCGGGCUUAACUCGGAACGGUCAAGUGAUACUGUCGGACUAGAGUACAGAAGGGGGCAACUGGAAUUCUCGGUGUAGCGGUGAAAUGCGUAGAUAUCGAGAGGAACACCUGCGGCGAAGGCGGGUUGCUGGGCUGAUACUGACGCUGAGGCGCGGAAAGCCAGGGGAGCGAACGGG